AUGAGGUUAAGAAAAAAGGAAAAACCAGAUUGGUUUUCUAAAGCAGAUGAAAUAUGUUUCCCUAGUGAUUUUGGCAUUAGUGAUGAAGAUGAGCCUGAAGGAUCCUAUAAAGUACCAGGUGGUAGGAAGAGAAGGAAUAAAAAUUUGAAGGACAUGAUAUGGUUUAAUGGCAUACUUCCAGGACCAGUAGGACAAUUUUGUAAGGGAUUGUGCUUCACUAGUGUCUAUGAGUUCAGAAAUGCACUUAGGGAUUUCCACAUUAGGACUUUGAGGAUUUUUCAAUAUCAUAGAAAUGCCCCUAAUAGGAUUAUUGUUUGCUCUCGGAGAGAGCCCAGGGAUGUGACUUUUAUAUCGAUGCCUCUAAGUUAG
RNAcentral lists this ribosomal RNA (369 nucleotides) under Triticum aestivum (bread wheat). RNAcentral's name for it is "partial small subunit ribosomal RNA". Lineage: Eukaryota; Viridiplantae; Streptophyta; Magnoliopsida; Poales; Poaceae. The record is from RNAcentral.